This 2208-nucleotide ribosomal RNA is filed under the name Salmonella enterica subsp. enterica serovar Enteritidis. Its description in RNAcentral is "partial 23S ribosomal RNA". It matches the Rfam family "Bacterial large subunit ribosomal RNA", at positions 753 to 2925 of the family's 2925-position model. The record is from RNAcentral. Lineage: Bacteria; Pseudomonadati; Pseudomonadota; Gammaproteobacteria; Enterobacterales; Enterobacteriaceae.
UGGGUAACACUAACUGGAGGACCGAACCGACUAAUGUUGAAAAAUUAGCGGAUGACCUGUGGCUGGGGGUGAAAGGCCAAUCAAACCGGGAGAUAGCUGGUUCUCCCCGAAAGCUAUUUAGGUAGCGCCUCGUGAAUUCAUCUCCGGGGGUAGAGCACUGUUUCGGCUAGGGGGCCAUCCCGGCUUACCAACCCGAUGCAAACUGCGAAUACCGGAGAAUGUUAUCACGGGAGACACACGGCGGGUGCUAACGUCCGUCGUGAAGAGGGAAACAACCCAGACCGCCAGCUAAGGUCCCAAAGUCAUGGUUAAGUGGGAAACGAUGUGGGAAGGCCCAGACAGCCAGGAUGUUGGCUUAGAAGCAGCCAUCAUUUAAAGAAAGCGUAAUAGCUCACUGGUCGAGUCGGCCUGCGCGGAAGAUGUAACGGGGCUAAACCAUGCACCGAAGCUGCGGCAGCGACACUGUGUGUUGUUGGGUAGGGGAGCGUUCUGUAAGCCUGUGAAGGUGUGUCGUGAGGCAUGCUGGAGGUAUCAGAAGUGCGAAUGCUGACAUAAGUAACGAUAAAGCGGGUGAAAAGCCCGCUCGCCGGAAGACCAAGGGUUCCUGUCCAACGUUAAUCGGGGCAGGGUGAGUCGACCCCUAAGGCGAGGCCGAAAGGCGUAGUCGAUGGGAAACGGGUUAAUAUUCCCGUACUUGGUGUUACUGCGAAGGGGGGACGGAGAAGGCUAUGUUGGCCGGGCGACGGUUGUCCCGGUUUAAGCGUGUAGGUGUGUGUUCCAGGUAAAUCCGGUUCACUUUAACACUGAGGCGUGACGACGAGGCACUACGGUGCUGAAGCAACAAAUGCCCUGCUUCCAGGAAAAGCCUCUAAGCAUCAGGUAACAUCAAAUCGUACCCCAAACCGACACAGGUGGUCAGGUAGAGAAUACCAAGGCGCUUGAGAGAACUCGGGUGAAGGAACUAGGCAAAAUGGUGCCGUAACUUCGGGAGAAGGCACGCUGACACGUAGGUGAAGUGAUUUACUCAUGGAGCUGAAGUCAGUCGAAGAUACCAGCUGGCUGCAACUGUUUAUUAAAAACACAGCACUGUGCAAACACGAAAGUGGACGUAUACGGUGUGACGCCUGCCCGGUGCCGGAAGGUUAAUUGAUGGGGUCAGCGCAAGCGAAGCUCCUGAUCGAAGCCCCGGUAAACGGCGGCCGUAACUAUAACGGUCCUAAGGUAGCGAAAUUCCUUGUCGGGUAAGUUCCGACCUGCACGAAUGGCGUAAUGAUGGCCAGGCUGUCUCCACCCGAGACUCAGUGAAAUUGAACUCGCUGUGAAGAUGCAGUGUACCCGCGGCAAGACGGAAAGACCCCGUGAACCUUUACUAUAGCUUGACACUGAACAUUGAGCCUUGAUGUGUAGGAUAGGUGGGAGGCUUUGAAGUGUGGACGCCAGUCUGCAUGGAGCCGACCUUGAAAUACCACCCUUUAAUGUUUGAUGUUCUAACGUGGACCCGUUACCCGGGUUGCGGACAGUGUCUGGUGGGUAGUUUGACUGGGGCGGUCUCCUCCUAAAGAGUAACGGAGGAGCACGAAGGUUGGCUAAUCCUGGUCGGACAUCAGGAGGUUAGUGCAAUGGCAUAAGCCAGCUUGACUGCGAGCGUGACGGCGCGAGCAGGUGCGAAAGCAGGUCAUAGUGAUCCGGUGGUUCUGAAUGGAAGGGCCAUCGCUCAACGGAUAAAAGGUACUCCGGGGAUAACAGGCUGAUACCGCCCAAGAGUUCAUAUCGACGGCGGUGUUUGGCACCUCGAUGUCGGCUCAUCACAUCCUGGGGCUGAAGUAGGUCCCAAGGGUAUGGCUGUUCGCCAUUUAAAGUGGUACGCGAGCUGGGUUUAGAACGUCGUGAGACAGUUCGGUCCCUAUCUGCCGUGGGCGCUGGAGAACUGAGGGGGGCUGCUCCUAGUACGAGAGGACCGGAGUGGACGCAUCACUGGUGUUCGGGUUGUCAUGCCAAUGGCACUGCCCGGUAGCUAAAUGCGGAAGAGAUAAGUGCUGAAAGCAUCUAAGCACGAAACUUGCCCCGAGAUGAGUUCUCCCUGAGACUUAGAGUCUCCUGAAGGAACGUUGAAGACGACGACGUUGAUAGGCCGGGUGUGUAAGCGCAGCGAUGCGUUGAGCUAACCGGUACUAAUGAACCGUGAGGCUUAACCUUACAACGCCGAAG